CGAUUUAGAGGUGUGGCUUGAACCGUGGCUUCUGGAGCUAACGCGUUAAGUCGACCGCCUGGGGAGUACGGCCGCAAGGUAAAACUCAAAUGAAUUGACGGGGGCCCGCACAAGCGGGAGAGCAUGUGGUUUAAUUCGAUGCAACGGAAGAACCUUACCUACUCUUGACAUCCAGCGAAUCCUUUAGAGAUAGAGGAGUGCCUUCGGGAACGCUGAGACAGGUGCUGCAUGGUUGUCGUCAGCUCGUGUUGUGAAAUGUUGGGUUAAGUCCCGCAACGAGCGCAACCCUUAUCCUUUGUUGCCAGCACGUAAUGCCGGGAACUCAAAGGAGACUGCCG
This 338-nucleotide ribosomal RNA is filed under the name Proteus mirabilis. RNAcentral describes it as "bacterial SSU rRNA". It matches the Rfam family "Bacterial small subunit ribosomal RNA", at positions 813 to 1154 of the family's 1533-position model. The record is from RNAcentral. Lineage: Bacteria; Pseudomonadati; Pseudomonadota; Gammaproteobacteria; Enterobacterales; Morganellaceae.